CAAAUCGACAGCAGGAGAUGCAAUCUUUUAUGGGCUUCAAAUUUUCUUCAAACCGAGACCAAAUUCGCUAUUUUUCAGCAAGAGAGCGUUGCCGUUUGUAACGGCCGAUGAAAAGAUCCAAACAAAUUUGACUAACAGUAGACAGAGAAAGAGAGAUAGAGAGAGAGAAAAUUACUCGCUGGUGACGAAGCUAAUGAAUUCGGAGACGCAUUGCUGGACGGUGUUCGACUGAUCGGCACGAGUAGAGACAUGAGAUCAGAAAGACAGAAAAAUUAGGGUUUAGGAGAUAAAGAAACUGGGGCAGAGACAGACGGAAAGAAAGAAGCAGAAAAGAGGAUGGCAACUGAAACCUUCCAGCGACUUUGUUCUUUAAAAAUA
Molecule: long non-coding RNA, 378 nt
Filed under: Malus domestica (apple)
Lineage: Eukaryota; Viridiplantae; Streptophyta; Magnoliopsida; Rosales; Rosaceae
Description: long non-coding RNA (MDOM_LNC020268)
Source: RNAcentral